Molecule: non-coding RNA, 961 nt
Organism: Camelina sativa (false flax)
Lineage: Eukaryota; Viridiplantae; Streptophyta; Magnoliopsida; Brassicales; Brassicaceae
Source: RefSeq, a predicted model, not a curated record
UCAUUUUCUCAUUAAAAUGUCAAUUUCAUCUCGUCGGAGAAGGGUUUUGAGUCUAUUGAGCAAAGGACUGCAAGAGGUUUUACAGAUCGAAAUCACCGAAGAAGAUUUUUCUCACUAGGACCGACUAUGACAGAGGAGUCAACACUUUUUCUCCCGAAGGAAAGCUGUUCCAAGUUGAAUAUGUCAUUGAAGCUAUCAAGGAGGACUAGUGGCCCUAUUAGACGAGCUAAAGGUGGUUGAACUCUUGAGGUGGAUGAGACACUUAGACGAGCUGUUGACAAGUUUAAGGGGAAGAGGUGGAAGAAAAUAUGUAAAUUUUCUUUCCUUGAUCAAAGUCAUCAAAGUCAAAGUUUUCAUAGGUUUCAAUUUCAAGUCAUGAGUUUGUUAAUGGAUUUAUGUCUACCUUGAUUGAUUUUUUUCUUUGGUGGGUUUCUCUCAGAUCAAGUGUCAGCUAUUUUGGUUGAGUCUUGUAUUGCUGGUUAUGCCGGUGUAACUACAAGCUCCAUGGUUAUUGGGGCAGUAGGUGGCUUAAAGAACUCAAGGCUCAACUCGGCUCAACUCUGUGUCACCAAAGUCACCGAAGGUACUCAAAACAAGCUCUCUAAUAGCAUAUCACUUUGCUGUAUCAUUUUCUGUAUAUUUAGGCUAUUAAUACUUCUUCUUCAUGAGUUUGUGUUGCUUAGUUGCAGGUUGAAGCUGAUUACGUGAUGAGCUUUAGGAUAUGAUCUGUUUAUGUAUUUUCUAAUCUUUGACUUGUUAAAUCUCUUUGUUGGGAACUUGCAUGAGUGAGGACCACAAGAAGACAGGUCGUGACUCUUGAGUAAGAAUGGGUUAUAUUUAAGAAGCAAGUUGGAGUUCCUGAAGCUGGAGGACUUCAAGAAGGCGAAGGAGAAGGUUAUAUUUAAGAAGCAAGUUGGAGUUCUUGAAGCUUUUAACGUCUGUUCAUGAACUUUUUUCGAUG